Molecule: ribosomal RNA, 209 nt
Filed under: uncultured bacterium
Lineage: Bacteria
Description: partial 16S ribosomal RNA
Rfam family: Bacterial small subunit ribosomal RNA
Source: RNAcentral
AGUGUAGGUGGCUCAUUAAGUCACAUGUGAAACUCCCCGGGCUUAACCUGGGAACUGCAUGUGAUACUGGUGGUGCUAGAAUAUGUGAGAGGGAAGUAGAAUUCCAGGUGUAGCGGUGAAAUGCGUAGAGAUCUGGAGGAAUACCGAUGGCGAAGGCAGCUUCCUGGCAUAAUAUUGACACUGAGAUUCGAAAGCGUGGGUAGCAGACA